Hyla sarda is the source of this 460-nucleotide long non-coding RNA. RefSeq lists it as uncharacterized. The transcript has 3 exons. NCBI's taxonomy places the organism in Eukaryota, Metazoa, Chordata, Amphibia, Anura, Hylidae. The record is from RefSeq and is a predicted model, not a curated record.
AGCCGCUCCCUGCGCUCUGGCCGCUACUUGCGGUCACAUGACCGGAAGUUUGGCAUUUGGAACGCAACUAUGCGUUCCACUGCGCUCAGAGGGAGGAAGUGCUAGUGUCUGCUGUUGAAUUGUAGGGAAAGACCUGUAAAAAAUGGCCAAAAAAGUAAAACUGAGUACACAAUGGAUAAGCUCGGUGACGUUAAUGAGGCCGGAAGAAUUGCAUAAUCUCUGUGUGUGAAACCGCCGGCAUUCGCCUCUGAGCGCCCCACGCCAAGCACACCUGCCAGUCGGAUGGAAUACUCUUGAGAGGAGCUGGAUGUAUUGAACCCAUUCGGAUACACAAUUUAUUUAAUACUGGGAGCAGAAGAUUACUGUAAAUUACCGUAGACAGUUACUUCCUCUGAGCUACUAGAGAAACACACAGAUGUACAGGAAGUUAUAGGGAGAUUGAAUAAAGGAAGAGAAAAAA